UCCUUUGGUUUAGCGGCGGACGGGUGAGUAACACGUGGGCAACCUGCCCUGCAGAUCGGGAUAACUCCGGGAAACCGGUGCUAAUACCGAAUAGUUUGCGGCCUCUCAUGAGGCUGCACGGAAAGACGGUUUCGGCUGUCACUGCAGGAUGGGCCCGCGGCGCAUUAGCUAGUUGGUGAGGUAACGGCUCACCAAGGCCACGAUGCGUAGCCGACCUGAGAGGGUGAUCGGCCACACUGGGACUGAGACACGGCCCAGACUCCUACGGGAGGCAGCAGUAGGGAAUCUUCCGCAAUGGACGAAAGUCUGACGGAGCAACGCCGCGUGAGUGAAGAAGGUUUUCGGAUCGUAAAACUCUGUUGUGAGGGAAGAACAAGUACCAACUAACUACUGGUACCUUGACGGUACCUCACCAGAAAGCCACGGCUAACUACGUGCCAGCAGCCGCGGUAAUACGUAGGUGGCAAGCGUUGUCCGGAAUUAUUGGGCGUAAAGCGCGCGCAGGCGGUCCUUUAAGUCUGAUGUGAAAGCCCACGGCUCAACCGUGGAGGGUCAUUGGAAACUGGGGGACUUGAGUGCAGAAGAGGAAAGUGGAAUUCCACGUGUAGCGGUGAAAUGCGUAGAGAUGUGGAGGAACACCAGUGGCGAAGGCGACUUUCUGGUCUGUAACUGACG
Molecule: ribosomal RNA, 675 nt
Filed under: Planococcus sp. GHL08
Lineage: Bacteria; Bacillati; Bacillota; Bacilli; Caryophanales; Caryophanaceae
Description: bacterial SSU rRNA
Rfam family: Bacterial small subunit ribosomal RNA
Source: RNAcentral